GGGCCCGUAGUCUAGCCGGUUAUGACGUCGCCUUCACACGGCGGAGAUCCUGGAUUCGAAUUCCAGUGGGCCCA
Molecule: transfer RNA, 74 nt
Filed under: Methanohalophilus mahii DSM 5219
Lineage: Archaea; Methanobacteriati; Methanobacteriota; Methanomicrobia; Methanosarcinales; Methanosarcinaceae
Description: tRNA-Val (CAC) (tRNA-Val-CAC-1-1)
Rfam family: tRNA
About the family: Transfer RNA (tRNA) molecules are approximately 80 nucleotides in length.
Source: Rfam by way of RNAcentral